RNAcentral lists this ribosomal RNA (497 nucleotides) under uncultured bacterium. RNAcentral's name for it is "partial 16S ribosomal RNA". It matches the Rfam family "Bacterial small subunit ribosomal RNA", at positions 28 to 507 of the family's 1533-position model. The record is from RNAcentral.
GAUGAACGCUGGCGGCGUGCCUAAUACAUGCAAGUCGAGCGAACGGACGAGAAGCUUGCUUCUCUGAUGUUAGCGGCGGACGGGUGAGUAACACGUGGAUAACCUACCUAUAAGACUGGGAUAACUUCGGGAAACCGGAGCUAAUACCGGAUGAUAUUUUGAACCGCAUGGUUCAAAAGUGAAAGACGGUCUUGCUGUCACUUAUAGAUGGAUCCGCGCUGCAUUAGCUAGUUGGUAAGGUAACGGCUUACCAAGGCAACGAUGCAUAGCCGACCUGAGAGGGUGAUCGGCCACACUGGAACUGAGACACGGUCCAGACUCCUACGGGAGGCAGCAGUAGGGAAUCUUCCGCAAUGGGCGAAAGCCUGACGGAGCAACGCCGCGUGAGUGAUGAAGGUCUUCGGAUCGUAAAGCUUUGUUAUUAGGGAAGAACAUAUGUGUAAGUAACUGUGCACAUCUUGACGGUACCUAAUCAGAAAGCCACGGCUAACUACGUG